This 620-nucleotide ribosomal RNA is filed under the name uncultured bacterium. RNAcentral's name for it is "bacterial SSU rRNA". It matches the Rfam family "Bacterial small subunit ribosomal RNA", at positions 86 to 741 of the family's 1533-position model. The record is from RNAcentral.
AAUACGUCAGUGGCAGACGGGUGAGUAACCCGUGGGAACGUACCUUUUGGUUCGGAACAACACAGGGAAACUUGUGCUAAUACCGGAUAAGCCCUUACGGGGAAAGAUUUAUCGCCGAAAGAUCGGCCCGCGUCUGAUUAGCUUGUUGGUGAGGUAAUGGCUCACCAAGGCAACGAUCAGUAGCUGGUCUGAGAGGAUGAUCAGCCACAUUGGGACUGAGACACGGCCCAAACUCCUACGGGAGGCAGCAGUGGGGAAUAUUGGACAAUGGGCGAAAGCCUGAUCCAGCCAUGCCGCGUGAGUGAUGAAGGCCCUAGGGUUGUAAAGCUCUUUUGUGCGGGAAGAUAAUGACGGUACCGCAAGAAUAAGCCCCGGCUAACUUCGUGCCAGCAGCCGCGGUAAUACGAAGGGGGCUAGCGUUGCUCGGAAUCACUGGGCGUAAAGGGUGCGUAGGCGGGUUUCUAAGUCAGAGGUGAAAGCCUGGAGCUCAACUCCAGAACUGCCUUUGAUACUGGAAGUCUUGAGUUCGGGAGAGGUGAGUGGAACUGCGAGUGUAGAGGUGAAAUUCGUAGAUAUUCGCAAGAACACCAGUGGCGAAGGCGGCUCACUGGCCCGAUACU